GACGAACCGUGCAAACGUUGUUCGGAUUCACUGGGCUUAAAGGGCGCGUAGGCGGGGGGUCAAGUCAGGGGUGAAAUCGUUCCGCUCAACGGGACAAGUGCUUUUGAUACUGGCCCUCUUGAGGGAGGUAGGGGCAUGUGGAACUUCCGGUGGAGCGGUGAAAUGCGUAGAUAUCGGAAGGAACGCCGGUGGCGAAAGCGGCUCACUGGUCCGGUUCUGACGCUGAGGCGCGAAAGCGUGGGGAGCAAACAGG
RNAcentral lists this ribosomal RNA (253 nucleotides) under uncultured bacterium. Its description in RNAcentral is "partial 16S ribosomal RNA". It matches the Rfam family "Bacterial small subunit ribosomal RNA", at positions 524 to 776 of the family's 1533-position model. The record is from RNAcentral.